UUAAUACCUGGGGUCGAUGACGGUACCGGAAGAAUAAGGACCGGCUAACUACGUGCCAGCAGCCGCGGUAAUACGUAGGGUCCAAGCGUUAAUCGGAAUUACUGGGCGUAAAGCGUGCGCAGGCGGUUGUGCAAGACCGAUGUGAAAUCCCCGAGCUUAACUUGGGAAUUGCAUUGGUGACUGCACGGCUAGAGUGUGUCAGAGGGGGGUAGAAUUCCACGUGUAGCAGUGAAAUGCGUAGAGAUGUGGAGGAAUACCCGAUGGCGAAGGCAGCCCCCUGGGAUAACACCUGACG
Molecule: ribosomal RNA, 295 nt
Filed under: uncultured bacterium
Lineage: Bacteria
Description: partial 16S rRNA
Rfam family: Bacterial small subunit ribosomal RNA
Source: RNAcentral